Molecule: unclassified non-coding RNA, 392 nt
Filed under: soil metagenome
Description: partial contains 5.8S ribosomal RNA, internal transcribed spacer 2, and large subunit ribosomal RNA
Rfam family: 5.8S ribosomal RNA (bases 6-123)
Source: RNAcentral
GAUGAAAGAACGCAGCGAAAUGCGAUACUUGGUGUGAAUUGCAGAAUCCCGUGAACCAUCGAGUCUUUGAACGCAAGUUGCGCCCGAAGCCAUUAGGCCGAGGGCACGCCUGCCUGGGCGUCACACGUCGUUGCCCCCCCAUCUACUCCUUCGGGAUUGCGGGGGGCGGAUGAUGGCCUCCCGUGCGCCUCGCCGCGCGGUUGGCAUAAAUGCCAAGUCCUCGGCGACGCACGCCACGACAAUCGGUGGUUGCGAAACCUCGGUUGCCCGUCGUGUGCGGUCGUCGCGCAUCGAGGGCUCGAAAAAAUUGCCGGGUUCCGGCUCGGCUUUCAACGCGACCCCAGGUCAGGCGGGGUUACCCGCUGAAUUUAAGCAUAUCAAUAAGCGGAGGA